GCCCGGGUGGCGGAAUGGUAGACGCGGCUGACUCAAAAUCAGUUGGCCUUGACGGGCCGUAGGGGUUCGAAUCCCCUGCCGGGUA
Molecule: transfer RNA, 85 nt
Filed under: Arachnia propionica
Lineage: Bacteria; Bacillati; Actinomycetota; Actinomycetes; Propionibacteriales; Propionibacteriaceae
Also listed under: 3 other names
Description: tRNA-Leu
Rfam family: tRNA
About the family: Transfer RNA (tRNA) molecules are approximately 80 nucleotides in length. Their secondary structure includes four short double-helical elements and three loops (D, anti-codon, and T loops).
Source: RNAcentral